Molecule: ribosomal RNA, 1456 nt
Filed under: uncultured organism
Description: 16S ribosomal RNA
Rfam family: Bacterial small subunit ribosomal RNA
Source: RNAcentral
GAUGAACGCUAGCUACAGGCUUAACACAUGCAAGUCGAGGGGCAUCAGGAAGAAAGCUUGCUUUCUUUGCUGGCGACCGGCGCACGGGUGAGUAACACGUAUCCAACCUGCCCUUUACUCGGGGAUAGCCUUUCGAAAGAAAGAUUAAUACCCGAUGGCAUAAUGAUUCCGCAUGGUUUCAUUAUUAAAGGAUUCCGGUAAAGGAUGGGGAUGCGUUCCAUUAGGUUGUUGGUGAGGUAACGGCUCACCAAGCCUUCGAUGGAUAGGGGUUCUGAGAGGAAGGUCCCCCACAUUGGAACUGAGACACGGUCCAAACUCCUACGGGAGGCAGCAGUGAGGAAUAUUGGUCAAUGGGCGCUAGCCUGAACCAGCCAAGUAGCGUGAAGGAUGAAGGCUCUAUGGGUCGUAAACUUCUUUUAUAUAAGAAUAAAGUGCAGUAUGUAUACUGUUUUGUAUGUAUUAUAUGAAUAAGGAUCGGCUAACUCCGUGCCAGCAGCCGCGGUAAUACGGAGGAUCCGAGCGUUAUCCGGAUUUAUUGGGUUUAAAGGGAGCGUAGGUGGACUGGUAAGUCAGUUGUGAAAGUUUGCGGCUCAACCGUAAAAUUGCAGUUGAUACUGUCAGUCUUGAGUACAGUAGAGGUGGGCGGAAUUCGUGGUGUAGCGGUGAAAUGCUUAGAUAUCACGAAGAACUCCGAUUGCGAAGGCAGCUCACUGGACUGCAACUGACACUGAUGCUCGAAAGUGUGGGUAUCAAACAGGAUUAGAUACCCUGGUAGUCCACACAGUAAACGAUGAAUACUCGCUGUUUGCGAUAUACAGUAAGCGGCCAAGCGAAAGCAUUAAGUAUUCCACCUGGGGAGUACGCCGGCAACGGUGAAACUCAAAGGAAUUGACGGGGGCCCGCACAAGCGGAGGAACAUGUGGUUUAAUUCGAUGAUACGCGAGGAACCUUACCCGGGCUUAAAUUGCAGUGGAAUGAUGUGGAAACAUGUCAGUGAGCAAUCACCGCUGUGAAGGUGCUGCAUGGUUGUCGUCAGCUCGUGCCGUGAGGUGUCGGCUUAAGUGCCAUAACGAGCGCAACCCUUAUCUUUAGUUACUAACAGGUCAUGCUGAGGACUCUAGAGAGACUGCCGUCGUAAGAUGUGAGGAAGGUGGGGAUGACGUCAAAUCAGCACGGCCCUUACGUCCGGGGCUACACACGUGUUACAAUGGGGGGUACAGAAGGCAGCUAGCGGGUGACCGUAUGCUAAUCCCAAAAGCCUCUCUCAGUUCGGAUCGAAGUCUGCAACCCGACUUCGUGAAGCCGGAUUCGCUAGUAAUCGCGCAUCAGCCACGGCGCGGUGAAUACGUUCCCGGACCUUGUACACACCGCCCGUCAAGCCAUGAAAGCCGGGGGUACCUGAAGUACGUAACCGCAAGGAGCGUCCUAGGGUAAAACUGGUAAUUGGGGCUAAGUC